Molecule: small nuclear RNA, 106 nt
Organism: Nannospalax galili (Upper Galilee mountains blind mole rat)
Lineage: Eukaryota; Metazoa; Chordata; Mammalia; Rodentia; Spalacidae
Source: Ensembl
GUGCUUGCUUGGGCAGCACAUAAACUAAAAUUGGAACAUACAGAGAAGAUUAGCAUGGUUACUGUCCAAAGAUGACACACAAGUUCGUGAAGCUUCUGUGUUUUCC